CGGGUCCUUCGGGACUAGUGGCGGACGGGUGAGUAACGCGUGGGAACGUGCCCCUUGGUACGGAAUAGCCCCGGGAAACUGGGAGUAAUACCGUAUGUGGUCGAGAGACGAAAGAUUUAUCGCCAAGGGAUCGGCCCGCGUUGGAUUAGGUAGUUGGUGGGGUAAUGGCCUACCAAGCCGACGAUCCAUAGCUGGUUUGAGAGGAUGAUCAGCCACACUGGGACUGAGACACGGCCCAGACUCCUACGGGAGGCAGCAGUGGGGAAUCUUAGACAAUGGGGGAAACCCUGAUCUAGCCAUGCCGCGUGAUCGAUGAAGGCCUUAGGGUUGUAGAGAUCUUUCAGGUGGGAAGAUAAUGACUGUACCACCAGAAGAAGCCCCGGCUAACUCCGUGCCAGCAGCCGCGGUAAUACGGAGGGGGCUAGCGUUAUUCGGAAUUACUGGGCGUAAAGCGCACGU
RNAcentral lists this ribosomal RNA (459 nucleotides) under uncultured Alphaproteobacteria bacterium. RNAcentral's name for it is "bacterial SSU rRNA". It matches the Rfam family "Bacterial small subunit ribosomal RNA", at positions 67 to 572 of the family's 1533-position model. The record is from RNAcentral. Lineage: Bacteria; Pseudomonadati; Pseudomonadota; Alphaproteobacteria.